This 500-nucleotide ribosomal RNA is filed under the name uncultured bacterium. Its description in RNAcentral is "partial 16S ribosomal RNA". It matches the Rfam family "Bacterial small subunit ribosomal RNA", at positions 28 to 507 of the family's 1533-position model. The record is from RNAcentral.
GACGAACGCUGGCGGCGUGCUUAACACAUGCAAGUCGAACGGGCCUGUCUUCUUUUUUGGGGGGUGGGUUGAGUGGCGAACGGGUGAGUAUCACGUGAGUAACCUGCCCUUCGGUCCUGGAUAACCGCUUGAAAGGGCGGCUAAUACGGGGUGGUCCGGUUGGUCCGCAUGGGCUGGUCGGGAUAGAUUCACUGUUUUUGGUGUUUCGGCGGGGGAUGGGCUCGCGGCCUAUCAGCUUGUUGGUGGGGUGAUGGCCUACCAAGGCGGUGACGGGUAGCCGGCCUGAGAGGGUGGGCGGCCACACUGGGACUGAGAUACGGCCCAGACUCCUGCGGGAGGCAGCAGUGGGGGGUAUUGCACAAUGGGCGGAAGCCUGAUGCAGCGACGUCGCGUGAGGGAUGGAGGCCUUCGGGUUGUGAACCUCUGUUUCCGGUGGUGAAGGCCCUGUCCGUGUGGUGGGGUUGACGGUAGCCGGGGAUGAGGCGCCGGCUAACUACGUG